AUCUCACCAGAGCUGCUCUGCCCCAGCUCCCAGGCAAGACUUUCCACACCGUGCUGCCAGGCCAGCAAGAGAAGAGGCUCAGGUCCGUCCGUGGGCAUCUGAGUAAUUCAUCCACACCAGGUCGCUUCCAAACAACUGCAAGCCAUAGAUACUGGUCAGCGUCUACAGAGCACACACAUCCCACUGCAUCGCCCUGGGCUCGAGGGGAGCCCACCAACCCCGACUCCUCUGUGAGGUCACCCUGCCAGGCUUCCUCAAGCUCUGGCCUCCUUCCUGGAUCUUCGCACGUUCUAGUGAAAAUGUAAGGUCCAGUGGACUGGUCACCCUGUGGGGGACACAAAGUCCCCAGAGAGCACUCUUGAGGAGAGUCACCCAGCUGGGUGUAGUGGCGCAUGCCUGUAAUCCCAGCACAUGGGAGGCUGAGGCAGGAGGAUUGCCACAAGAUCGAGGCCAGUUUAUGCUAUAUAAUGAGUUCAACGCCAAUCUGAACUACCCAGGGAGCCUCUCAAAAAAAAAAAAGUCAUUCAAUGUAGUUCCACCAUCCAAGUUAAAUUUGGGAAUCUGUAUAUUCUAUUAAAAUAUAUAUGUAUGUAUUAACAGUUCUGAGAAGUCAUAUGAGUAUGCCCUUUUCCAACUUUUCCAAAUCUAGCUUGAUAUAGAACAUGGAAAUCUUUUUUUUUUUUUCAGUUUUGAGAGCAUCUCAGGGUAUCUCUGGAUUCCAGGCUGGACUUGAACUCACAAUGUAGCCCAGGCUGGCCUGAAACUUGUGUUGAUCCUCCUGCCUCUGCCUCCUGAGUGCUGGGAUUACAGGUGUGUGCCACCACACCUACCUGGAACUCUCCAUGUAACACGUAUUAUAGGUCAAGGAACUAAUUAAUGUCUUUGGAAUAUAUUUUAGGAAAUGAUCUAACUGGUGUUCCGUCUAGGGAGGUGCCUCAGUCUCGGAGGUCACAACGGAAAACGCCCAUGGCAACCGGCGAGAGUGUGUUUGAGCAACAAGGUAACUCCUGCUGCCCCAGCCUCCCGCCCUCUGAGCCACGAGAGCUCCGGCGGGCUGAGCCCCAUCCCUUCCUCUCCUCUCCCAGCCCAGGAGCACUGGCGCAGACAUUGCUUUGGUGCCGGCUCCUCUUCCCCUUCCUCUGCGAGGCAGUGCGCCACGUGUGUGUUCUCGUUUCCUCUUUGAACGAGGCUCGUCACCCCGCCAGCCACCUGUCAGCUGGAAACGCACCUUCGGAGCACCGCGGCGGCAUCCCUGGACGUCAGGGGACCUAGGGACACAUGUCCCCACCUUUGCAGUUUUCCAUGACUGCCAGAAACCACUCCUGCCUCAAAGCCCUGGGGAGUGUUUCCUGCAGAAUCACAUCUUGACUCUUUCCUUCACGGGUCAGCAGAAGCCUGAGGAGCACAAGAGACUCCAAUUUCCCAAAGGAGAGGCAGGGAAAGAGCCCAGGCAGAGAGUCCCCAGUCCUAGGUGAGCCGCCGGUUCUCCUCACCCUGUCCUGUUUCAGCAGUGCAGCUCCAGUGGAGCAGGGCCGAAGAGCCGGCGUGACAGAGGGCCGGGGCUGUCUGCCUGCCGCUGGAUCUGCCCCCAGAGACUCCCUGAGAGCCUCCCGGUCUGUGCCUCACCUGACUGAGCAGGCUGCAGUCACAGGAGCUGAGAAACCCAAACAGAAUGGGACAUCAAAUCACCAUGGGGUCACUUUUGGUUGUAGGUGUUACCUGUCAGAAUUGCAUCUGCACACAUGGGGUGCACUCUGAGUGGAGGGGAGGAGAGGAGUACAGAUACAGCCUGUGCAAAAGAAGCCAAGGGGAGGAGCUGUUGGUACAGAGAGGAGGGGCCCUGUCCACUGGGCAGCGGGCCAUCCCAGGGGACCUGCAGCAGGGAGACCCAGAAGUCCUCUGUCUGAGGCUGAAUCUAAAACCGGAAGUCCAAGACUCUGGUUUGUGUGAAACUCUGCUAUAGUUUGGAUGUGGGUGUCCUGCAAAGGACCCGGGUCAAAGGCAUGGCUGCCAGCCUCUGGAGCUCCUGGGUGGGGGGAACUUUAGGAUGUGCCGCUGCGUGGAAGGAAGCCUGGUUGCUGGGGCUGUGUCCUUGAAAGGAUGCUAGGACCAUGGCCCCUUCCUUUCCCCCUUUUGCUUUGAGGUGAGCAGCUUUUCUUUGCCGUGGGUUCCCGCCAUGGUGUGCAGUGCUGUCACAGGCCCAAAACCACAGGGCCCGGUGACCACAGACUGCAACCUUUGAAACCGUGAGCCUUAAUAAAUCCUUACAGCAACAGAAAGCCAACUUCCCCAGACUCUUAGCUUAGUCCCCCCAUCCCCAAAGGGGAGACCCUGGAACUGGGCUGAGCGGGAUAACUGACACACGUGGCCCGAAGAUGUGUCACACGAUGUGGCAGAAAAUUCAGACCCAAAGUUUAUCACUUGGGAGAGUCACAGAGUGAUGGCUUCUUUUAUGAAAAUAAAAGCAGAAGAUGUCGUUAAACUGGGCUGUCGUGGCCAAAUGGACUGUGUCACGGAGCUGAGUGUGCGCGUCACAGUUCUGUUACAUGGAGGCUGGGUGCUAUGGGCCAUGAGUGUGGUCCGUUUUCCUACAGUACGAGGACUCCUCCAUAUACCUGGCGCCAUCAAAAUGAUUUUCCGUGCUUGACCUCCCUGACUCCUAUGAGUGCUGGAAUUUACAACCCUGCUCAAGGCACCAGGUUGAGCCAGGAUGGUUUCUGAAGAACAGGACAGAAACAUUUUAAAAAGCUCCUUAAUUCAAACCACAGAGCAAGAGGAGCUGAGUGGCUGAUGGAGCUGGGAGGAUGCCCAGGUGGUGCCAGGACAGGAGGAAGGGCAGCAGGAACCCGGGAGAAUGACAACUCUUCUGCUGUCUCUGCCUGACUUUCUACAUUGGCCCCAUUCUCCUGUCCAGAGAUGCCUUGGAAAAAGCACUUUCUUCACUUCCAAAAGUCAGUCCCAGGGAUGGAUGCUGGCCUCCCUUGGGUCAUAAAGGACCGCUGCAGACUGCCUUCUUUUUUUUUUUUUUUUUUGGUUUUGGUUUUUCUCCGGUACCGGGAACCGAACUCACAUCCUUGCGCUUGCCAGGCAGGCGCUUUGCCGCUGAGCUAAAUCCCCAGCCCCCUGCCUUCUUUUUAAAAUCAAGUAUUUAUCAAAUAUCAGAUAUCAUAUAAAGAGCAGCUGGUCCCCAUUUAAGCAGGUUACAAAUACUAACAUAUUUAAUAUCUAUUUUUCUAAAAAAACCUGAGUUCGGUGCCGUUACUCACUCUGGUUAUAACGGACAGGAGCUCACUCCUGUCACAGUGGCAUUAAUCCGUUCAUGGGGACAGAGCUCUCCUGACCCAACCACCUCUUGAGGACCCCACUUCUCAUCCUGUUGCAGUGGGGAUUAAGUUUCUAACACAGACUCUGAGACACACUUUCAAACCAGAGCAGAAAUGUUAUAAUAGUUGCAAGAUAAUUCACAUAAAUUGGAACCCAGAUUUGGAAAGACUAGAAUAAGUGAAAGUGAAAAGAUAAUGACGAUGACUGUAAACCUUGCAGUUAGAUUUUAAAAAAGAUGUUCUGCUGGGAGGAACACUUAGUUUCACAGCCUGGGGGCUGGCGUUGACUGCAAAGGCUUGGGAUGAGCUCACAGGCAGAGCUCUGAGUACCGAAGUCUCCAGCUCACCCUUGAUGGCAGGGAUGGGCGAGGGUCCAGAACCUGGACAGGCGUCCUUCCACCUCUCCGCAGUCCGAGCACUGGUCCUGCACCCUGUCCAGCCCAGAACUAGCAAAUGGAGCCCAUCCAGGGAAAGACAGGGUCUGGGAAAGUUUAACUUGGACAAGAGGAGACUUGGAGAGGCCUGAUAAUAACUAUAAUAGUCAUCUGUCAUCGUGUGAAAACCACACCUAAAACUUACGGUCUUAAAUCAACAAUAACCAUUCACUUGCCCACAAUUCUGCAGUCUGGGCUGCGGAGCUUCUCUCUGCCCGCUGGGGUGUAGGUGUGAGCUAGGGUCACACGAGCACUUGGAGCCAGCUGGCAGGGCCACUGUGGCUGGAGGGCCCAUGAUGGUGUCCUGCUCAUGUCCACUGCCACAGCUGGGAUGGUGGCAACCUCUGGGGACUGACUGUACCCCUGUCCUCAUGCUCCCUCCGCCCCUCCUACACAUGGCCUCCCACCCGCAGGGAGGGCGGCCCAGACCUCUGGCUUCUCAGGGAAACAGGACAGUGCGUGUGGCUGCUACGGGACUCUUACCGCCUGGGCCCAGCAUCUCAGUCACUUACCAUGCACCAAGCAAGUCCUACCACCAGCCCAAGCACAGCGAGGAAAAUGACCACACACAAGCGUGAAUUCAGAGUGGGACUGCUUAGAAACUAAUUGGUGGCAAUUCAUCAAAAGAACUACUAUUGAUUAUUUCUAUAGUUUGACAUUUUACAAAGAACAUUUCCUUAGCCGGGCGUGGUGGUGCCUGUAAUCCCAGCACUCAGGAGGCUGAGGCAGGAGGAUCGUUGCGAGUUCAAGACCAGACUGGGCUACAAAGUGAGCUCAAGGCCAGCCUAAACUGCAUAGCAAGACCCUGUCUCAAAAAGACCAAAAAAAAAAAAUCUACUUGCAUUGACUUAUUUGAUCCUUAUCACCAAAUUGGGAUAUGGUUAAUGAUAUGUUGCACAAAAAAAAAAACUCCUAAUUUGUAGCAUUUGCCAAUUUCCCUGGUGUAAAUACUCCUACAAUGCCAACUGCAAGUGAAGGAAGUGAGAUCACUGAGUGCUGAGGUGG
This 4762-nucleotide long non-coding RNA is filed under the name Chinchilla lanigera (long-tailed chinchilla). Its description in RNAcentral is "lncRNA (ENSCLAG00000027654.1)". The record is from RNAcentral. Lineage: Eukaryota; Metazoa; Chordata; Mammalia; Rodentia; Chinchillidae.